CCUACGGGGGGCAGCAGUGGGGAAUAUUGGACAAUGGGGGGAACCCUGAUCCAGCCAUGCCGCGUGUGUGAAGAAGGCCCUCGGGUUGUAAAGCACUUUCAGUGAGGAAGAACGCCUGGUGGUUAAUACCCAUCAGGAAAGACAUCACUCACAGAAGAAGCACCGGCUAACUCCCUGCCAGCAGCCGCGGUAAUACGGAGGGUGCGAGCGUUAAUCGGAAUUACUGGGCGUAAAGCGCGCGUAGGUGGCUUGAUAAGCCGGUUGUGAAAGCCCCGGGCUCAACCUGGGAACGGCAUCCGGAACUGUCAAGCUAGAGUGCAGGAGAGGAAGGUAGAAUUCCCGGUGUAGCGGUGAAAUGCGUAGAGAUCGGGAGGAAUACCAGUGGCGAAGGCGGCCUUCUGGACUGACACUGACACUGAGGUGCGAAAGCGUGGGUAGCAAACAGGAUUAGAUACCCCAGUAGUC
Molecule: ribosomal RNA, 465 nt
Filed under: Vreelandella stevensii
Lineage: Bacteria; Pseudomonadati; Pseudomonadota; Gammaproteobacteria; Oceanospirillales; Halomonadaceae
Description: partial 16S ribosomal RNA
Rfam family: Bacterial small subunit ribosomal RNA
Source: RNAcentral